GAUGAACGCUGGCGGCGUGCCUAAUACAUGCAAGUCGAGCGAACGGACGAGAAGCUUGCUUCUCGGAUGUUAGCGGCGGACGGGUGAGUAACACGUGGAUAACCUACCUAUAAGACUGGGAUAACUUCGGGAAACCGGAGCUAAUACCGGAUGAUAUUUUGAACCGCAUGGUUCAAAAGUGAAAGACGGUCUUGCUGUCACUUAUAGAUGGAUCCGCGCUGCAUUAGCUAGUUGGUAAGGUAACGGCUUACCAAGGCAACGAUGCAUAGCCGACCUGAGAGGGUGAUCGGCCACACUGGAACUGAGACACGGUCCAGACUCCUACGGGAGGCAGCAGUAGGGAAUCUUCCGCAAUGGGCGAAAGCCUGACGGAGCAACGCCGCGUGAGUGAUGAAGGUCUUCGGAUCGUAAAACUCUGUUAUUAGGGAAGAACAUAUGUGUAAGUAACUGUGCACAUCUUGACGGUACCUAAUCAGAAAGCCACGGCUAACUACGUGCCAGCAGCCGCGGUAAUACGUAGGUGGCAAGCGUUAUCCGGAAUUAUUGGGCGUAAAGCGCGCGUAGCGGUUUUUUAGUCUGAUGUGAAAGCCCACGGCUCAACCGUGGAGGGUCAUUGGAAACUGGAAAACUUGAGUGCAGAAGAGGAAAGUGGAAUUCCAUGUGUAGCGGUGAAAUGCGCAGAGAUAUGGAGGAACACCAGUGGCGAAGGCGACUUUCUGGUCUGUAACUGACGCUGAUGUGCGAAAGCGUGGGGAUCAAACAGGAUUAGAUACCCUGGUAGUCCACGCCGUAAACGAUGAGUGCUAAGUGUUAGGGGGUUUCCGCCCCUUAGUGCUGCAGCUAACGCAUUAAGCACUCCGCCUGGGGAGUACGACCGCAAGGUUGAAACUCAAAGGAAUUGACGGGGACCCGCACAAGCGGUGGAGCAUGUGGUUUAAUUCGAAGCAACGCGAAGAACCUUACCAAAUCUUGACAUCCUUUGACAACUCUAGAGAUAGAGCCUUCCCCUUCGGGGGACAAAGUGACAGGUGGUGCAUGGUUGUCGUCAGCUCGUGUCGUGAGAUGUUGGGUUAAGUCCCGCAACGAGCGCAACCCUUAAGCUUAGUUGCCAUCAUUAAGUUGGGCACUCUAAGUUGACUGCCGGUGACAAACCGGAGGAAGGUGGGGAUGACGUCAAAUCAUCAUGCCCCUUAUGAUUUGGGCUACACACGUGCUACAAUGGACAAUACAAAGGGCAGCGAAACCGCGAGGUCAAGCAAAUCCCAUAAAGUUGUUCUCAGUUCGGAUUGUAGUCUGCAACUCGACUACAUGAAGCUGGAAUCGCUAGUAAUCGUAGAUCAGCAUGCUACGGUGAAUACGUUCCCGGGUCU
Molecule: ribosomal RNA, 1370 nt
Filed under: uncultured bacterium
Lineage: Bacteria
Description: bacterial SSU rRNA
Rfam family: Bacterial small subunit ribosomal RNA
Source: RNAcentral